Molecule: non-coding RNA, 103 nt
Filed under: Alicycliphilus denitrificans
Lineage: Bacteria; Pseudomonadati; Pseudomonadota; Betaproteobacteria; Burkholderiales; Comamonadaceae
Also listed under: 1 other name
Description: Glycine sequence
Rfam family: Glycine riboswitch aptamer
About the family: This family represents the bacterial glycine riboswitch. Glycine riboswitches usually consist of two metabolite-binding aptamers domains with similar structures in tandem. The aptamers cooperatively bind glycine to regulate the expression of downstream genes.
Source: RNAcentral
CGUUUCCUUGCUGGAGAGAGGCGCCGCCGGCGCCCACCGAAGGAGCAACCCCCGCCGCCGCGGCAGGGCGAAUCUCUCAGGUAAAGAGGACAGCAGGGCAGAU